GACGAACGCUGGCGGCGUGCUUAACACAUGCAAGUCGAACGGAAAGGCCCUGCUUUUGUGGGGUGCUCGAGUGGCGAACGGGUGAGUAACACGUGAGUAACCUGCCCUUGACUUUGGGAUAACUUCAGGAAACUGGGGCUAAUACCGGAUAGGAGCUCCUGCUGCAUGGUGGGGGUUGGAAAGUUUCGGCGGUUGGGGAUGGACUCGCGGCUUAUCAGCUUGUUGGUGGGGUAGUGGCUUACCAAGGCUUUGACGGGUAGCCGGCCUGAGAGGGUGACCGGCCACAUUGGGACUGAGAUACGGCCCAGACUCCUACGGGAGGCAGCAGUGGGGAAUAUUGCACAAUGGGCGGAAGCCUGAUGCAGCAACGCCGCGUGCGGGAUGACGGCCUUCGGGUUGUAAACCGCUUUCGCCUGUGACGAAGCGUGAGUGACGGUAAUGGGUAAAGAAGCACCGGCUAACUACGUGCCAGCAGCCGCGGUGAUACGUAGGGUGCGAGCGUUGUCCGGAUUUAUUGGGCGUAAAGGGCUCGUAGGUGGUUGAUCGCGUCGGAAGUGUAAUCUUGGGGCUUAACCCUGAGCGUGCUUUCGAUACGGGUUGACUUGAGGAAGGUAGGGGAGAAUGGAAUUCCUGGUGGAGCGGUGGAAUGCGCAGAUAUCAGGAGGAACACCAGUGGCGAAGGCGGUUCUCUGGGCCUUUCCUGACGCUGAGGAGCGAAAGCGUGGGGAGCGAACAGGCUUAGAUACCCUGGUAGUCCACGCUGUAAACGGUGGGUACUAGGUGUGGGGUCCAUUCCACGGGUUCCGUGCCGUAGCUAACGCUUUAAGUACCCCGCCUGGGGAGUACGGCCGCAAGGCUAAAACUCAAAGGAAUUGACGGGGCCCCGCACAAGCGGCGGAGCAUGCGGAUUAAUUCGAUGCAACGCGUAGAACCUUACCUGGGUUUGACAUGGAUCGGGAGUGCUCAGAGAUGGGUGUGCCUCUUUUGGGGUCGGUUCACAGGUGGUGCAUGGCUGUCGUCAGCUCGUGUCGUGAGAUGUUGGGUUAAGUCCCGCAACGAGCGCAACCCUUGUUCACUGUUGCCAGCACGUUAUGGUGGGGACUCAGUGGAGACCGCCGGGGUCAACUCGGAGGAAGGUGGGGAUGACGUCAAGUCAUCAUGCCCCUUAUGUCCAGGGCUUCACGCAUGCUACAAUGGCUGGUACAGAGAGUGGCGAGCCUGUGAGGGUGAGCGAAUCUCGGAAAGCCGGCCUCAGUUCGGAUUGGGGUCUGCAACUCGACCUCAUGAAGUCGGAGUCGCUAGCAAUCGCAGAUCAGCAACGCUGCGGUGAAUACGUUCCCGGGGCU
This 1346-nucleotide ribosomal RNA is filed under the name uncultured bacterium. RNAcentral describes it as "partial 16S ribosomal RNA". It matches the Rfam family "Bacterial small subunit ribosomal RNA", at positions 28 to 1381 of the family's 1533-position model. The record is from RNAcentral.